AGUGAACGCUGGCGGUAGGCCUAACACAUGCAAGUCGAACGGCAGCACAGUAAGAGCUUGCUCUUACGGGUGGCGAGUGGCGGACGGGUGAGGAAUACAUCGGAAUCUACUUUUUCGUGGGGGAUAACGUAGGGAAACUUACGCUAAUACCGCAUACGACCUACGGGUGAAAGCAGGGGAUCUUCGGACCUUGCGCGAUUGAAUGAGCCGAUGUCGGAUUAGCUAGUUGGCGGGGUAAAGGCCCACCAAGGCGACGAUCCGUAGCUGGUCUGAGAGGAUGAUCCGCCCACCUUGAACCUAGGCCAGGUCCCGACCCCUACGGGAGGCAGCCGUUGGGAAUUUUUGACCAUGGGGCGAAGCCUUAUCCCACCCUACCGCGUGGGUGAAGAAGGCCCUCCGGUUGGUAAGCCCCUUUGUUUGGAAAGAAAAGCAGCAGGUUAAUACCCCGCUGUUCUGACGGUACCCAAAGAAUAAGCACCGGCUAACUUCGUG
Molecule: ribosomal RNA, 492 nt
Filed under: uncultured bacterium
Lineage: Bacteria
Description: partial 16S ribosomal RNA
Rfam family: Bacterial small subunit ribosomal RNA
Source: RNAcentral